GAGCGGUAGAGAGAAGCUUGCUUCUCUUGAGAGCGGCGGACGGGUGAGUAAUGCCUAGGAAUCUGCCUGGUAGUGGGGGAUAACGCUCGGAAACGGACGCUAAUACCGCAUACGUCCUACGGGAGAAAGCAGGGGACCUUCGGGCCUUGCGCUAUCAGAUGAGCCUAGGUCGGAUUAGCUAGUUGGUGAGGUAAUGGCUCACCAAGGCGACGAUCCGUAACUGGUCUGAGAGGAUGAUCAGUCACACUGGAACUGAGACACGGUCCAGACUCCUACGGGAGGCAGCAGUGGGGAAUAUUGGACAAUGGGCGAAAGCCUGAUCCAGCCAUGCCGCGUGUGUGAAGAAGGUCUUCGGAUUGUAAAGCACUUUAAGUUGGGAGGAAGGGCAUUAACCUAAUACGUUGGUGUCUUGACGUUACCGACAGAAUAAGCACCGGCUAACUCUGUGCCAGCAGCCGCGGUAAUACAGAGGGUGCAAGCGUUAAUCGGAAUU
RNAcentral lists this ribosomal RNA (493 nucleotides) under Pseudomonas sp. LR2. RNAcentral's name for it is "bacterial SSU rRNA". It matches the Rfam family "Bacterial small subunit ribosomal RNA", at positions 64 to 552 of the family's 1533-position model. The record is from RNAcentral. Lineage: Bacteria; Pseudomonadati; Pseudomonadota; Gammaproteobacteria; Pseudomonadales; Pseudomonadaceae.